RNAcentral lists this ribosomal RNA (859 nucleotides) under uncultured Bacteroidota bacterium. RNAcentral describes it as "bacterial SSU rRNA". It matches the Rfam family "Bacterial small subunit ribosomal RNA", at positions 10 to 877 of the family's 1533-position model. Lineage: Bacteria; Pseudomonadati; Bacteroidota. The record is from RNAcentral.
AGUUUGAUCCUCGGCUCAGGAUGAACGCUAGCGGCAGGCUUAACACAUGCAAGUCGAGGGGCAGCAUUAAGUUGGCGACCGGCAAACGGGUGCGGAACACGUACACAAUCUACCUUUGUCUGGGGCAUAGCCCGAAGAAAUUCGGAUUAACUCCCCAUAAGAUAUUAAAGUGGCAUCACUUAGAUAUUAAAAAUUUAUUGGACAGAGAUGAGUGUGCGUCCCAUUAGCUAGUUGGUAGGGUAACGGCCUACCAAGGCGACGAUGGGUAGCUGGUGUGAGAGCACGACCAGCCACACGGGCACUGAGACACGGGCCCGACUCCUACGGGAGGCAGCAGUGAGGAAUAUUGGUCAAUGGGCGCAAGCCUGAACCAGCCAUGCCGCGUGAAGGAUGAAGGCCUUCUGGGUUGUAAACUUCUUUUAUCUGGGAAGAAAAUUACGGUUUCUACUGUAACCGACGGUACCAGAGGAAUAAGCACCGGCUAACUCCGUGCCAGCAGCCGCGGUAAUACGGAGGGUGCAAGCGUUAUCCGGAUUUACUGGGUUUAAAGGGUGUGUAGGCGGGUCAUUAAGUCAGUGGUGAAAUCUCCGAGCUCAACUUGGAAACUGCCAUUGAUACUAUUGAUCUUGAAUUUUGUUGAGGUAGACGGAAUAAGUCAUGUAGCGGUGAAAUGCAUAGAUAUGACUUAGAACACCAAUUGCGAAGGCAGUUUACUAAACAAACAUUGACGCUGAGGCACGAAAGCGUGGGGAUCAAACAGGAUUAGAUACCCUGGUAGUCCACGCCCUAAACGAUGAUUACUCGACAUACGCGAUACACAGUGUGUGUCUGAGCGAAAGCAUUAAGUAAUCCACCUGGG